This 1189-nucleotide ribosomal RNA is filed under the name Monopterus albus (swamp eel). RNAcentral describes it as "partial 16S ribosomal RNA". It matches the Rfam family "Bacterial large subunit ribosomal RNA", at positions 594 to 2558 of the family's 2925-position model. Lineage: Eukaryota; Metazoa; Chordata; Actinopteri; Synbranchiformes; Synbranchidae. The record is from RNAcentral.
CAUCCUCGUACCUUUUGCAUCAUGAAUUAGUUAGACACCCCAAGCAAAGAGACCUAUAGUUUGUUUCCCCGAAACUAAGUGAGCUACUCCGAGACAGCCUAAUAAUAGGGCGAACCCGUCUCUGUGGCAAAAGAGUGGGAAGAGCUCCGAGUAGAGGUGACAGAUCUACCGAACUUAGUUAUAGCUGGUUGCCUGAGAACUGAAUAUAAGUUCAGCCUCCCGGCUUCUCUACACACCGAGAGCGUAAGUUAAAGGGGGAACAGCUCCUUUAACAUAAGAUACAACUUUAUCAGAAGGAUAAAGAUCAUAAUAAUCAAGGUACCAACUUUUCGUAGGCCUAAAAGCAGCCAUCCUUAUAGAAAGCGUCAAAGCUCAAAUACCCUAUUACGAUAGCCAAUCUAACUCCUCUAAUACUACCAGGCUUUUUCAUGCCCACAUGAAAGUAAUUAUGCUAAUAUGAGUAAUAAGAGAGGCCUCUCUCCCCACACAAGUGUAAAUCGAAACAAACCCCAACCGAAAAUUAAUGGCCCCAAAAAAAGAGGGGAUUGAAUAACUACUAGAAAAACAACCUCCAUUAAUCUUACACCAGCGUGUGAUAAAGGAAAGACUAAACCAAUGAGAAGGAACUCGGCAAACAGGCCUCGCCUGUUUACCAAAAACAUCACCUCCUGCGUAUAUAGGAGGCAUUGCCUGCCCAGUGACACAUGUUUAACGGCCGCGGUAUCCUAACCGUGCAAAGGUAGCGUAAUCACUUGUCUUUUAAUUGAAGACCUGUAUGAAUGGCAUAACGAAGGCUUAACUGUCUCCUCUUUAAAGUCAAUAAAAUUGAUCUCCCCGUGCAGAAGCGGGGAUUACACCAUAAGACGAGAAGACCCUGUGGAGCUUUAGACGCUAAAGCAGCCCACGAACUAACCUUGUCAUAAACAAGUUAUUAACCAGUGAAACCCUGCUUCCCUGUCUUCGGUUGGGGCGACCAGGAGAAACUAAAAAACUCUCCCGAGGAGUAGGAAGAUUCCCAAAACCAAGAGCCACACCUCUAAUAAUUAGAACUUCUAACCAUAAUAGACCCGGAAUACCCGAUCUUCGAACAAAGUUACCCCAGGGAUAACAGCGCAAUCCCCUUUUAGAGCCCGUAUCGACAAGGGGGUUUACGACCUCGAUGUUGGAUCAGGACACCCCAAUGGUGCAG